AAGAGGCCGGCAGUCAGACUGUGGGUGAUAAGGUCCAUGGUCGAGAGGGAAACAGCCCAGACCGCCAGCAAAGGUCCCGAAAUACAGGCUAAGUGGAAAAGGAUGUGGGGACGCACGGACAGCUAGGAGGUUGGCUCAGAAGCAGCCAUCCUUUGAAGAGUGCGUAACAGCUCACUAGUCGAGUGGCCCUGCGCCGAAAAUGUACCGGGGCUAAGCCUGAUACCGAAGCUGCGGAUGUAUUCGAAAGAGUAUGUGGUAGGGGAGCGUUGCAUGCAGGAAGAAGUAUCACUGAGAAGGGAUAUGGACAGCAUGGAAGUGAGAAUGCCGGUGUGAGUAGCGAGAUGCAGGUGAGAAUCCUGCACACCGAAAGCCCAAGGAUUCCAGGGGAAGGUUCGUCCGCCCUGGGUAAGUCGGGACCUAACGCGAGGCCGAGAGGCGUAGUGGAUGGAAAGCAGGCGGAGAUUCCUGCACCCGCGAGAUACGAGGCGAAGGAGUGACGGAGACGGAGUAGGCGACCCUCUGAAUGGAUUGAGGGCCAAGCGCAGCAGACGGAUACCAGGCAAAUCCGGUA
RNAcentral lists this ribosomal RNA (571 nucleotides) under Erysipelotrichaceae bacterium. RNAcentral's name for it is "partial 23S ribosomal RNA". It matches the Rfam family "Bacterial large subunit ribosomal RNA", at positions 971 to 1547 of the family's 2925-position model. Lineage: Bacteria; Bacillati; Bacillota; Erysipelotrichia; Erysipelotrichales; Erysipelotrichaceae. The record is from RNAcentral.